Molecule: long non-coding RNA, 375 nt
Organism: Photinus pyralis (common eastern firefly)
Lineage: Eukaryota; Metazoa; Arthropoda; Insecta; Coleoptera; Lampyridae
Exons: 2
Source: RefSeq, a predicted model, not a curated record
GUUUGUUGUAGUGCAAUACUAGGUAUACACAUAUUACCUAGCUGAUUUCAAAACAUCGCGUUACACGGAUCACCUUACAGAAAUACAAUUCUUCUUUUUGUCCGGCGUAUAUUUAUAGGUAAAACAAAACGAAGUCUAUUUUAGUUACAUUAUUUUUUAAUGAACUGUAAAAGCGGCAAAACAGGGAAUGGAAAAUGUGCUAUUAGAGGAGAAUUUUUGUAGUAUGGGGUAUCAAAUCGCAGAUGGGUGGAAACUGAUAUCCAUCAGCAGGCAUCGUAAAUACAUGUUAUUUUAUACUGCGCAGCGAACUUGGUUAAUUUCGUCAGAUGCUAUAUUUGUGCAUUAAAUGUAAAUAAAACACUUCUUGACAUUCGA